Non-coding RNA from Haemonchus contortus (barber pole worm), 76 nucleotides. The record is from Rfam. NCBI's taxonomy places the organism in Eukaryota, Metazoa, Nematoda, Chromadorea, Rhabditida, Trichostrongylidae.
CAUUGUCCGAUCUGGAUGUUUCUCUGAGUCAUACUCGUUGUGAUAUGACUAGAGACACAUUCAGCUUGGCUACGUG